This is a long non-coding RNA of Corvus hawaiiensis (hawaiian crow), 1046 nucleotides long. RefSeq lists it as uncharacterized. The record is from RefSeq and is a predicted model, not a curated record. NCBI's taxonomy places the organism in Eukaryota, Metazoa, Chordata, Aves, Passeriformes, Corvidae. The transcript has 5 exons.
AACAACCUCAGGUCCUUCAGCUGCUCCCUGUAGGACUAACGAUCAUCCUGUGAUUUACUGGAGACAAUUGAGAUUCUCGGUUUUCAAAAAUGACAGCCUCUGAAGCAGUCUUCAUCUUUGCAUUAAGGGAAGGUAUAUGUGUAAUUUUGUGUAGUAGGAAAGUACAUCAAGCUUUCUGACACAUCCUCUACAGGCGUUUCAAAAAUAGCAAAGAAAUUGUCUUGUUUGUUGGACCUUCAAGCAGCUCAUUUUAAAUUCAAGGUUGAUCAGAACACUCUAGCAACCCAUUUUCUCCUAGUCCAGCUAUCAACUUGAGUUUCUUUGUGGCAGCUGCUACCACAGCGUCUGGUGCUGAAAGAGCCCCCUUUGCAUGUCAGCUCUGAGAGAAACCUUUCUGACGUCCGACACAGAACAGAUAUCAGAUAUUGAAAAGCUUGAGGGCUCACACAACACAGUUCAGUGAAACCUCAGCAAGGAAAACAACACUGAAUCUGGAGGAACAGCUGGCAUACCAAAGAGGAGUCCAGAGGCACUGUCCAGAAGCCUGGGGACUGGAUCAACAAAAGUCUCCUCAAGUUCAACAGGGAACAACACCCUGAUCCUAAAAUCAGUUCAACACAUAAGCAAGGAAGAGGAAGGAGGAAAAAUUGUGGCUCCCAGUCACUUAAGGGAGAAGGAAAAAAAGAGAGAACAGUAAGUGUGAAAAUGCCUCAUAACUGUUACACUGCUACUGCCACUCCUCUUGAUGGUCAGGUUCACUCGCUGCAUUUCCUCGUAACUGGCUCACUGAAGUUCAAGGCAGGGUGUCUUAGAUAUAACAGGGCUCUACCAUGACCAGCGCUCCAGUGAUGUCCAUUGUGCACCCUGAAGGACUGCUGAAGGAAGUGGUAAGAUAUAGAAGAUGCUAUCACCAAGCACAGCAGACUCAGAAGACUGACUUCAGUCAGUUCCACCAAAGGCCCAGGAGGGGUAAGUUAAACGUUCUGUGGACAGGGAAGAUUUAGGUAAGAAAGAUGUGUACAAUCCUGCUUUGGUUUAAAAACCCU